GCUCUGGUGGCCUAAGUGGUUAGAGCGUCCGCCUCGGGUGCGGGAGGUCGUGGAUUCGAUCCCCGGCCGAGUA
Non-coding RNA from Potamilus streckersoni, 73 nucleotides. NCBI's taxonomy places the organism in Eukaryota, Metazoa, Mollusca, Bivalvia, Unionida, Unionidae. The record is from the annotation of a GenBank genome assembly.